AUCGAGAGUCAGAUGCUUAACUGACUAAGCCACCCAGGCACUCCAGUAGUGAUUUUUGGCAAAGGAGAAUUUUACAGUCAUUAACUGCAGCAAAGUUUUGAUAUGAGCUACUGAUCAACUACUCAUGCCAUCUCUGCCUCUUCUGUUUGCAUAAAUAAUUUAAACUUAGCUGAAUAGAUAAUUGGCAUCUAUAAUUAUGACCCAACUAAUUUUACUCUUGGUCCACUGUGAGUGUUAGCCAUGUAUUCAAAGUUCAUUAGUAAUUUGGUAUAGGAGAUUAAUAAAGAGUAUUUUUAUUUAUGGAAGGGGAAGAGUAUUGAUAAAACUUUUUUAGUGGUAAUUUACCAAGAUGAUAAACUAGAAAACUAUGAAGUUUUAAUUUUAAUUUUUGGCAUAUGCUGUAAUGAUGGAAUUUCUGUUUGGAAUACACAGGAACUAAGCACAGACAGUGACUCUCCUGAAAUUAGCUUUCUCUCAGGUACUACUACUAAAGUAUCUGAUGUGGUGGUUGUAAAGGAGAAAACGUUAAUAGAGCCAGAGAAGAUCUCAGCAAUACCAAACCAGUUUUCUCAGUCUGGAAAGGAAGCCACAUUGACCAUGAAUUCUGAAGAAACCAAGGAUGAAGAAAGUUCUCUUAAAACUUUUGUGUCUGCUUUGGAAAGGUUACUCACAUCACCAGAAAUCACUCAGGAGGAAAGAGUGUUUGAAAUAAUGAGUGAUUUUGAACCUGAAGAGUUGGCCAACCCAUCGAGCAACUCUCCAAGUUCCAUAUCCGUAUCUUUGACAUGUCACAGAGAUUUACUAGAAAGCACAAAGGAUGAUGCAUUGCCAACUGAGUUGUUAGCAGCCCUAAACACAUUAUCAGAGGGCAACGUGGGACCCUUCUGUCACAGAAAAGAGGGAGGCAGCAGUCUCAGUGUCGGAAGUAAAUAUUCAGGAGUGGAGCCCAAGAUGUCUCAGACCAGUGAAGAUUGUACACAAAUAACAGAGGUUACACAAAUAACAGAGACUCUAGAAGAUCCAAGUCCAUUUGGGUUGCAGACUUUGGUUCAUCAAAACGUCACCUCUUGUGAUCCACUAAAUAAUAAGGGAAACUCAAAUUCAGUGGAAAAUAAAUCUGAUCAGAACACUCCAUGUGUGUUAAGGAGAUCAUCCAGACUGAAAGCAGGCAGAGAUGCAAAGCACACAGAUAACGUGUGUAAGAUGCCAGAAAAGAUUUUACCAAUGAUACUUCUCAGUGAGGAUCAAACAAAUAAUAACUCUUCAAGUAAGAAUUUCAGAAUUCAGGAUCCUGCUUUAAUGAUUAAAGGUAAAGGGAAGAAUAUGAAUUCAACCAGACUCAAAAGUGGAGAACAGAUGCAGAGAAACAAAAAACUUGCUGGAAAAAAUGAAAAAAUGAAGAGGAAUAAAAUAUCUCUGUCUAGCAUUAACCGUAGAAACAUUUUUGGAGAGAACUUACUGUAUCAGGCUGCUCUGCAUAAUGACGUUGAUCUUGUUCAUCAUUAUAUAAUAAAAGGUGGAAAUGUUAA
RNAcentral lists this long non-coding RNA (1529 nucleotides) under Ailuropoda melanoleuca (giant panda). RNAcentral describes it as "lncRNA (ENSAMEG00000023650.1)". The record is from RNAcentral. Lineage: Eukaryota; Metazoa; Chordata; Mammalia; Carnivora; Ursidae.